GUGGGGAAUAUUCCGCAAUGGACGAAAGUCUGACGGAGCAACGCCGCGUGAGUGAAGAAGGUUUUCGGAUCGUAAAGCUCUUUCGUUAGGGACGAACGUGCUCUUUGUGAAUAAUGAGGAGUAAUGACGGUACCUAAAUAAGAAGCCACGGCUAACUACGUGCCAGCAGCCGCGGUAAUACGUAGGUGGCAAGCGUUGUCCGGAAUUAUUGGGCGUAAAGCGCGCGCAGGCGGGAUAUCAAGUCUGUCUUAAAAGUGCGAGGCUCAACCUCGUGAGGGGACAGAAACUGGUAUUCUUGAGUGUCGGAGAGGAAAGUGGAAUUCCAAGUGUAGCGGUGAAAUGCGUAGAGAUUUGGAAGAACACCAGUGGCGAAGGCGACUUUCUGGACGAUGUCUGACGCUGAGGCGCGAAAGCUAGGGGAGCGAACGGGAUUAGAAACCCUUGUAGUCC
This 450-nucleotide ribosomal RNA is filed under the name uncultured bacterium. Its description in RNAcentral is "partial 16S ribosomal RNA". It matches the Rfam family "Bacterial small subunit ribosomal RNA", at positions 354 to 796 of the family's 1533-position model. The record is from RNAcentral.